This is a non-coding RNA of Nicotiana tabacum (common tobacco), 948 nucleotides long. The record is from RefSeq and is a predicted model, not a curated record. NCBI's taxonomy places the organism in Eukaryota, Viridiplantae, Streptophyta, Magnoliopsida, Solanales, Solanaceae.
CAGAGGGGAGGGGGGAAACGAAAAAACAGUAGAGAAAAUAGGGUGAAGGGAAAGAAUAGAUUUAAAAAAGGAACGAAAAACUUCAUGAAAGCUGAGAAAAAAAGAAACCCAGCAAGCUGUUUCUUCCUCCUAAUUUCAUCACCCAAAAACUUCAUCUUCCCCAUAUAUAGCUCCAUUCAAGAUCAACCACAAACAGCCAUAAAACCUCCAUUAAAAUCAUUAUGAAAGCUGUAAAACCAGCUCCAAAAACGUAAAAAUAAUAGCUCGAAUCGCUGCCAUUUUCACCAAGGAAACAACCCCCCUAGAAUCCUCCAUUAAUCUCGUCGAAGUUCUGCGCUCGAGGUCGUCUGUCGAGUUUGUCAACUAUAGCUUUGGCCUGGAGUCUUUUCUGUUCAUUGUUUCAAAAACACAGUACAACUAUAAAGGCAUCCACCUGGAGAAUGAGGGAAUUCGUUUCAAAAUUAUUUCAAGUUUCAAGUCAGUAGUAGGCACGCACCUGGAAAACGAGGAAAGUCAUUUCAGAAUUCAAUUCAAGUUAGAAGUAGUAGAAGCUCGCGGCAAGAAUGUUAGUCGACAGUCCGAGAUGACCAACAGAAGUAGCCUCAAUCCAGAAAAAAAAGGUGAAUCCAAAAUGAAAAAGCAGAGAAAGAUGUGAAAUACUCAAGACAUGGCUGAAGUCACGAGCACGUCGUGUCCGAUUUUAAACUAAAGAAGUCGUGGAAGAGUGAAUCAGCACCUGCAGCUAGCAAGCAUCAAGGUUUAAAUCAAAGUCUGCAUGAAAAACCGUUCAAGACUCAAGAUUAAGCUUCAGAAGACUUAUAAAUAGGAGUCUUGUAACUCAUCGCUGACAGGUUUAGUUAGUCGUUUUCAUUUUUGAUUUGAUGUAAUAACAGGACCGCGGACAGGAACCUCGACGGAAUCUCAUUCGACUCCCUCGUCCUCUCCACA